AAGACUAUACUUUCAGGGAUCAUUUCUAUAGUUUGUUACUAGAGAAGUUUCUCUGAACGUGUAGAGCACCGGAAACCGCGAGGAAGAGACGUGGUGUUUUCUUCUGAACGUGAAGUUAGUAUUCGGUGGUGUUUUGUUACAGCUGCCGUUUGCUGUUGAUGAUCGUUCUUUUUCUCUGUUUUCAGAGAAAGAGAGGGAGAAAACGCGGUCUGAGUGGUU
Small nucleolar RNA from Nomascus leucogenys (northern white-cheeked gibbon), 219 nucleotides. The record is from Ensembl. NCBI's taxonomy places the organism in Eukaryota, Metazoa, Chordata, Mammalia, Primates, Hylobatidae.